This 4949-nucleotide long non-coding RNA is filed under the name Mytilus galloprovincialis (Mediterranean mussel). The record is from RNAcentral. Lineage: Eukaryota; Metazoa; Mollusca; Bivalvia; Mytilida; Mytilidae.
CGUAGGUAAACGAAUUGAUUGCCAUGAUUUGAUUCGAUAUUACUUUAGAUUAUCAAUAGAUUGCAUGUCCAUGACAAAAAAUGUUGUCCAAAUCCGACUUUUAAAAAGUUUUACGAAUCGAUUGUUGUGGUUUGAUAUCCCGUUAGUGUAUGGAUUGAUUCUUUUUAACAGAUGGCAGCACCAAUUACCACACAACCGCAACCCCAGCCUGGGAGCUUGCUUGUCUCAACAGUUCAUGGUCAUCGAAACUGGUCCACUGGUAUUUUUGACUGUUUCACAGAUAUCAAAACAUGUAAGAAAAACGUUAAUGUACAAAGUCUUAUAACAAAUUCGUAUAUGUAUUUUAAAAUAUUUUUUUGAAAGUACAAUGAUAAAUUGAAGAAUUGCAAAAAUAUUUUUUGUCUUGCGGAUAAUUUCAAUAUCAACAAAUGUUUCACUAUGUUUCACUAUUUAAUGACAGCCUUGUAACUGAUGUAUGCUCGAGACCAAAAGUGGCGAAAGCAAGAUACUAUAAUAAUGAUAACAUCUGAAAAGAUAAAAUCAAUACAAUCUUGAUUUUUGUAUAAAUACACUGUACCAUAAGAUAAUGUUUUGUUUUUAUAGUGAUCAAUAUUAUAACUCAAUGUUUACUGCUGAUACAGCAUGUUUUUGACAUUUUGACCUAUUAUGUCAGUUUGUCUUGUUAACACAUUAUUGUUAUCAAUUUAAUAAAAAUGUAUGGACUGUCAUACAAUUGAGAGGUAGUGCUAGCUAGCUACAAAACGAGAUUUACUUUUCUAUUUUCUACAUGAGAAAAUGCUUGUACCAAGUCAGGAUGACAGUUGUUGUCCAUUCGUUUUUUAUGUGUUUUGUCAUUUUAUUUUGCCAUGUGAUUAGGGACUUUCCGAUUUUAUUUUACUCGGAGUUCAGUAUUUUUGCGGUUUUACUUUUUUUCCAUUUGUUUGAUGUGUUUGAACUUUUGAUUUUCCCUUUGAUAAGGGACUUUGCGAUUUGAAUGUUCCUUGGGGUUUUUGUAUUUUUGUACGUGUUUCCAAAAUAUAUUUUGUAUUUUUUCAUUGUUUUGACAUAAUGACUCGACGUUGCUAUAUAAAGAAAGGAUAGUGACACCAUGUUACUAAAAUAGUAACAUAGCCUUAAUAUCAUUUUCAAAAACAGUAACAUAGCGUUAAUAUCAUUUCCAAAAAUAGUAGCAUAGCGUUAAUAUCAUUUCCAAAACUAGUUACAGGCUUAAUGAAAAAUACUUCUUCUAGUGAAAAGUAAAAACACAAAAAUACUGAACUCCGAGGAAAAUUCAAAAAGGAAAAUCAAAAAUCAAAAGGCAAAAUCAAAAGUCCAAGCACAUCAAACGAAUGGAUAACAACUGUCAUAUUCCUGACUUGGUACAGGCAUUUUCUAAUGUAGAAAAUGGUGGAUUGAUUCGGUAUUCAUUCAUCUGUGUUCUUGAUAAAGCGUUAUAUACACAUUUAAUUCAUAUUUUUCUUUCCAUAUUAUAAAUACAACAUUAUGAAACACACAUUUAGUAUGUGAUAGGCAUAACACGUAACGAUACGUAUUAACAUACUUUAAAAUCAUGUUCAACACAGAAAACAAUUGUCCGAAUAUAUACAUAAACCGAAACCGAAACACAAACAUGCAUCGAAGUAAGGAAUUUCUUUUGUCAUGCAAAUAAGCAGAUCUAGGGAAACAUAGAUAUACAGCAGAAUUGUCAGAAUUGUUUUUUUAGGUUGCAGGUAUUAUAUCGUGGUUCCAUUUGCACUGCAUGACAUGUAAUCUAUCUGUCAGAAUUGUUUUAUUAUAUUGCAGGUAUUAUAUCGUGGUUCUGUUUGCCAUGCAUGACAUGUAAUAUAUCAGGCAGAUUUGUUUAUUGUGUUUGAAUGCCAUUUUAUUAUUAUUUUGCAGGUAUUAUAUCGUGGUUCUGUUUGCCAUGCAUGACAUGUAAUCUUUCAGGCAGACAAGGUGAUUGUGCUUGUAUGCCAUUUUGUGUGCCUGGUGGGUCUAUUACCAUGAGAUCUAGAAUCAGAACACUUGGUGGAAUUCAGGUGAGAAUUUGCAGUUGCCUGUCAUGUUUAAUUGUUUAAUUCUGAUAUUUAAUGGGAUAGAAAUUCAUUGGACGAUACAUUCUGGAUUAUUUUCACUUGAAGAACUAUAAAAUCAUGGUUUAAAACAAAGUUAUAUAUAUAUUGAAAUAUUUUAAAGUAUUGUUUAAUUUUUCUUGAUUCUCAUUGGUUUAUUUGGUCACGUGUUUCCAAAAUAUAUUUUGUAUUUUUUCAUUGUUUUGACAUAAUGACUCGACGUUGCUAUAUAAAGAAAGGAUAGUGACACCAUGUUACUAAAAUAGUAACAUAGCCUUAAUAUCAUUUUCAAAAAACAGUAACAUAGCGUUAAUAUCAUUUCCAAAAAUAGUAGCAUAGCGUUAAUAUCAUUUCCAAAACUAGUUACAACGAGUCAAUAUCGUUUAAAAACCCACGCUAUGGUCUACAUGUGCAAUAAAUGUUAGGGGCAGUGCAACAACUCCAAGAUCCUAUCUUUCAAACAAUUUCAAUCUAACUGGACUUGUUUGCUUUGGAUAGCUGUCCAUAUCAAAGAAAAUCCUUCACUAUUAGCCAAAAAGUCGGCAUGUUUCUUUCUGUAAAAAGUUAUCAAAAAUCAUGAACGACUGUACACCAACUGUCAUAUAUCCGACUUGGUACAGGUAACAAACAUAAAAAAGUCAUAUAGACAAAGCAAGUUAGCAAAAUUGAAAGAUAAAAAUGUAAAAAUUAUCACAGAAAAAUGACUGGAUGUAUAAUUACAGAGCCAUGUCUUACUCGAACUGUUUUUGAGGUAUAUUAUUAUCGUAAACUGAUACUACAUCUAAUAUUAAAAAAUGAUAUGUUAUGAUAUUUUUAUCAUAUGAUUCAACGAUUGCCUGUGAAUAAUGUAAAUUUGCAUUUUUUUUUUUGGCAGUGAAUUACUUACUAGUUAUUCCAUCAUUACAAUACUUUUUUUUUUAAUUUCAGGGUACUGUGUGCAAUGACUGUCUCGUGAUGCAGUUUUGUGGUCCAUGUGCAAUUUGUCAGAUGUCUAGAGAACUUGACAAUAUGGGCAUUCCAUAAUCAAGACAGACAAAUUCAAAUGAUAACAUUGAAACAACAUAUAGACAAAAAUCGUAUUUUGAUAACAUUUUAGACUCAUAAGAGCUUAUACUGCUCUUCAAACAUGUUUAUUAUAAAUCUUAUUCAAUCUUUUUGUGAUUGAAGGCAUAUAUAUUUCAUUUUUAAUAUUUUGUUUUGUUUUGACUUUUCUAUUUUCUUGUAUUAUUCGUCAACAUUAAAAAUAUAUUCAUUGGACCGACCUAUUAAAAAGUUUGUAUUUCACAAUUCAUCGAUAGGAACAACUCGAUAAUUUAUAAUGUGUCCCUAAAAAAUUCUUAAGUGCCAUUUAAAAUUUAGCAUGUUCUGUCUGUGACCUACAAUGUGUUACUGAGGUAAAUCAUUCAGUCCGAAAACGCCUCAAUGGACAGGAGAGAUAGAAAGUCGUUUCUUCAAUGGACACAAUACUAAAGUGGUCAUGCCACAAUCUCAAUGACAAGUUUAUGCCACAAUCUCAAUGACAAGUUUUUCAAUAAACAGAGCUCCGAUUAUGCAAUAAUGCUCCAAAAAGACCCCUGCACAGAAUAGAAAGAAGCAGAAUUACCGAUUGAAAUUAUACCUAGUGGUGGGUUCGAGAGAGAAUUUUUAUAGGAACUUGAUGUUCCUUAUCCAUAUGGCAUUCACAUAAAAGAGCUAAUAUCUUAAGAUAACUUUGAUAUUGUUGGAUUUUUUUUUAUCAUGUUUUGGUUGUAUAAUUACAUUUUAAUAUUCAUGGAUGCCUGGAUCCACACAAACAAACAAACAAACACACAAACAAACACACACACACACACAUUUAUUCGAUCAUUUUUUUAUUUUUUUUCUAAGAGGUCAAAGUCUGUAGCAUUAAAAUGCAUUGAUUGAUUGAUGUUUAACCAUUUUCAGCACUAUUGGCUAUUCCAUGGCGGUCAGUUUUUAUUGCAAGAGAAUGCUAGAGUGCCCGACCUUCUUAGGAAACUGACAAUCCUAAUCAAUUAAGUUUAAAGUCGAGCUCACCCACUACGAGCGGAAUUCGAAACUGAAAACCUCAGUCUUGACAUAUUUGGGAUACAAUAAUUUGAAUGUUAACACAACUCAGUCCCUGAAUACAACAUAACCUCCAGUGAAUAUACCUUCCCUUUAUAACGUUAUAUGUAAGAGGGGACAUAAACUUUUUCUCAUGUCCCAAUUUAUGUAUUUUUAUAUUAUUCCUUCCGCUUUGUUCAGAUUGGAAAAGUGAACUGAGGAUGAUGAAAAUGUUCUCAUUUAAGUCUUAUUUAAUGAUGCCCAGUCAACAAGAAGAAUGCUGUUGAUCUUCAAAAAAUCAAUUAAUAGUAUGUAAAGUUUUAAAAGUUUUCAAAUUAUUUUUAUUCUCCUGAUUUUAAUGAGAAGAAGUUUGAACGAUAAUUAUCAGCAAUAAAAGCGAACAAAUCGUCCGAUUAGUCAAUAUAUCGUAUUUACUUUGAUUAUUACGUAUACUGUACUGCUAAAAAUUGUUUUAUUUUGUAAAUUUUUUUUCAACAACUAAUGAUACAUCUUCGGAUAAUUAAGGCCAUGAUGUAUUUUUGACAUAUGUUUUCCAGUUCUUGCUGUCAGAACUUUUCCGCUCCGAGUAUAGAUUCAAUAUAAAUUUUGAAAUCAUGAGCAAAACUACUGGUAGGGCGGACUCUGUAGCUAUCAAGUAUAGAAAGUAAUCAUGCUUGUGACAAAAUAGUCUCUUUGACCUCAUCACAUGUCGGAUUUAUUUGUUUGCAGUAGCUUGCAUCAAACGAGUCUUUAUGUUUGUUGUAGAUUGUAUUCGAGUUUCAUUCCAGUUAUUCUUUAUGACUGGCGUGUCAAUGUUAAGCAAUGGGAUUGGAU